GUUAUGAUCUUAAAAAUAAAAGGAUUUGGCGGUAAUUUAGUCUUUUCAGAGGAACCUGUUUGGUAAUCGAUGAUCCACGUUGGAUUUUACUUUAAUUUUUUGUUUGUAUAUCUCUGUUAUUGAAUGUUUUUUUAGGAUAUUUUCUUUAAGUUAUUAUGUAAAUUAUAUCAGGUCAAGGUGCAGCUAUAUUGAAGUUUAGAAUGGGUUACAUUUAAUGUUAUUUAUUAGUUUUUUUUCUGUAAUUUGAAGUAAAAUAAAAAGGAUUUGAAAGUAAUUUUAAUUAUUUUAUUAAAAUGAUUAUAGCUCUAAAUUAUGUACACAUCGCCUGUCGCUUUCAUUAUUAAGGUGAAACAAAUCGUAACAAAGUAAUUUUACUGGAAAAGA
RNAcentral lists this ribosomal RNA (384 nucleotides) under Stenocoris furcifera. RNAcentral describes it as "partial small subunit ribosomal RNA". The record is from RNAcentral. Lineage: Eukaryota; Metazoa; Arthropoda; Insecta; Hemiptera; Alydidae.